UAGAGCUGGGUCAAUUUUCAUAUGCUUCAUCCUCUCUCUCUCAAACUCUCAUUGUCUCUCAAGCUCCCAUCUCUCUCUCUCUCUCUGAUCUCUAAUUUUAUUCUCUCAUCUCUUCUCUGUUUGUGGCGUUGAGGAGACCAAUCUGGCACCACAGCGAAAACCCAGCUAACCUGGCCUUGAGGAGGCUGAUCAGAUGAAAACCCAACAACACCCAGAGUUGAGGAUGCUAAUCUGACUACACCACUUCGUGGACGAGAAAGAGAGAGGGACUACGGCGAGAGGAUGAGAUGGUGACUUUUUUUCAAAUUGAGUUCAUUUUUUUAGCAUCAACUAGUUCUAAUCCUAAAGUACCACCCUAUUGCUUGUCUUAAGUCACAUGUACCCGCCUCAGCAAGUUAAAGAAUUUUUUUUUAGUCUCUAGCAUUGCUCAUUACUCUUUGGAAAUUAUCUAUAAUGGAUACAUCAGCAGUCAAUUAAUGUAGUAGGAAGCCCUAUUCUAUAGCUAAUAUAAGAGUUGAGAAUUGAGAUUGAA
Quercus robur (English oak) is the source of this 532-nucleotide long non-coding RNA. RefSeq lists it as uncharacterized. The record is from RefSeq and is a predicted model, not a curated record. NCBI's taxonomy places the organism in Eukaryota, Viridiplantae, Streptophyta, Magnoliopsida, Fagales, Fagaceae. The transcript has 2 exons.